This 253-nucleotide ribosomal RNA is filed under the name uncultured bacterium. RNAcentral's name for it is "partial 16S ribosomal RNA". It matches the Rfam family "Bacterial small subunit ribosomal RNA", at positions 524 to 776 of the family's 1533-position model. The record is from RNAcentral.
GACGGAGGGUGCAAGCGUUGUUCGGAUUGACUGGGUGUAAAGGGCGCGUAGGCGGCUUGGCAAGUUGGGUGUGAAAGCCCAGGGCUCAACCCUGGAAUUGCAUUCAAGACUGCCUUGCUUGAAUUCGGUAGAGGUUGGUGGAAUUCCCAGUGUAGAGGUGAAAUUCGUAGAGAUUGGGAAGAACACCCGUGGCGAAGGCGGCCAACUGGACCGACAUUGACGCUGAGGCGCGAAAGCGUGGGGAGCAAACAGG